AACGAACGCUGGCGGCAGGCUUAACACAUGCAAGUCGAACGCCCCGCAAGGGGAGUGGCAGACGGGUGAGUAACGCGUGGGAAUCUACCCAUCUCUGCGGAAUAGCUCUGGGAAACUGGAUUUAAUACCGCAUACGCCCUACGGGGGAAGAUUUAUCGGGGAUGGAUGAGCCCGCGUUGGAUUAGCUAGUUGGUGGGGUAAAGGCCUACCAAGGCGACGAUCCAUAGCUGGUCUGAGAGGAUGAUCAGCCACAUUGGGACUGAGACACGGCCCAAACUCCUACGGGAGGCAGCAGUGGGGAAUAUUGGACAAUGGGCGCAAGCCUGAUCCAGCCAUGCCGCGUGAGUGAUGAAGGCCCUAGGGUUGUAAAGCUCUUUCACCGAUGAAGAUAAUGACGGUAGUCGGAGAAGAAGCCCCGGCUAACUUCGUGCCAGCAGCCGCAGUAA
Molecule: ribosomal RNA, 446 nt
Filed under: uncultured bacterium
Lineage: Bacteria
Description: partial 16S ribosomal RNA
Rfam family: Bacterial small subunit ribosomal RNA
Source: RNAcentral